CCUACGGGGGGCUGCAGUGGGGAAUAUUGGGCAAUGGGCGCAAGCCUGACCCAGCAACGCCGCGUGAAGGAAGAAGGCUUUCGGGUUGUAAACUUCUUUUGACAGGGAAGAGCAGAAGACGGUACCUGUCGAAUAAGCCACGGCUAACUACGUGCCAGCAGCCGCGGUAAUACGUAGGUGGCAAGCGUUAUCCGGAUUUAUUGGGGGUAAAGGGCGUGUAGGCGGGAAUGCAAGUCAGAUGUGAAAACUAUGGGCUCAACCCAUAGCCUGCAUUUGAAACUGUAUUUCUUGAGUGCUGGAGAGGCAAUCGGAAUUCCGUGUGUAGCGGUGAAAUGCGUAGAUAGACGGAGGAACACCAGUGGCGAAGGCGGAUUGCUGGACAGUAACUGACGCUGAGGCGCGAAAGCGUGGGGAGCAAACAGGAUUAGAUACCCUUGUAGUC
Molecule: ribosomal RNA, 442 nt
Filed under: uncultured bacterium
Lineage: Bacteria
Description: partial 16S ribosomal RNA
Rfam family: Bacterial small subunit ribosomal RNA
Source: RNAcentral